Molecule: ribosomal RNA, 2172 nt
Filed under: Triticum aestivum (bread wheat)
Lineage: Eukaryota; Viridiplantae; Streptophyta; Magnoliopsida; Poales; Poaceae
Description: partial small subunit ribosomal RNA
Source: RNAcentral
AUGUUCAGCGUCCAGUCCCCCCGCCCACUGAGGGCUCGCGGCGGCGAUGCGGCGGUGGAACAGGACAGGGAACUCCGCCACGAGAGCAAGGUGGGGAGGGUGCGGACGCGCGCCAAGCUGCGGGAGGCGGAGAGGUCGAGGAAGGAGAACGAGGAGCGGGAGCGGCUAGAUGCGGAGGAGGCCGACUACCGCCGUGUUUGGGCAAAAGGCAAUGAACUCUUCUACACCAGAAGAUAUCAGGAAGCAGCAGCUCACUAUACCGAAGCUGUGAACAAGAAUCCAAAUGAACCCGCGGUGUUUAGAAACAGAGCUCAAUGUCACAUCUUUCUGGGAGCUCUGCCCCAAGGUCUGGAAGAUGCAGAAAAAUGUAUUGAGCUGGAUCCUACUUAUUUGAUGGGUUAUCUCUGUAAAGCGAAGGUUCAAGCCCUGAUGCAGAAUUAUGAAAGUGCUAUGGCAACAUACAUAGAGGGUUUGAAGCGUGAUCCAAACAGUACUAUCAUAAUUGAUGGCUUUAAGAGAUGUGUGACAUGCAUUGAGAAGUCUAAAGGCGGUGACGUUGGGCUUGUGGAUUUAGAAGACAUUUUGAGAGAUUGGCAUUCAGACAUUUAUUUGUCUAAUGAACUUAAAAAGUACAUGGAAGAAGUUGCAGUAUUCAAGAAAGAAGCUUCUGAUGAGCGCUUGAGGUGGAUUGAAUCUGAACAAACAGCCAGGACAUCAGAGGCAAAUCAGGUGCAACGACAUAAAGAUGCUGAGGAGCAUCUUUCCAAAAUACAACAAGAGUUGCAACAAGUUAAAGCACGACAGGAUGAGGUUGCUAAUGAGCUACAAAAAGCUAAUAAGCAUAAUGAACAUGCUCAAAAUCAGCUUUUGGAAUCAAAAAAGUUCCAUAGUGAGGAACUUCAGAAGGCCAAUGAGCAUAGUUUGGAUCUGCAACAUCAGCUCACUGAAUCCAAAGAGCGGUAUAAUCAGCUUCAGUCCAAGCAUGACGUCUUGCUAAAGGAAAGAGAUGCUGCACUCGAAGAGGUAGAAAAGUUACACCGGAGAAGUACAGCGAUGCCCUGCCAGUUUUCAUUAGCUGAACUAGAACGUGCAACAGAAAAUUUCAGUACUUCAACGAAGUUCAGAGAAUGUGGGGUUGCCUCUGUGUACCGAGGUGUCCUCCGGAACAUGACAGUUGCAGUAAAGGUGCUGAGACACGAUGGUCAAGGACCCUUUCAGUUUGAACAAGAGGUUGCUAUCCAUAGUAGAGUGAGACACCCCAACCUAGUAACUCUGCUAGGAGCAUGCACAGAGUUAUUGACGCUUGUCUAUGAGUUCUUACCAAAUGGUAGUCUUGAAGAUUUUCUUUCAUGUGAGGAUAAGAGGCGAACUCUGACGUGGCAGAUCCGCAUCCGUAUUAUUGCUGAGAUAUGUUCAGCUCUGAUCUUUCUUCACGAGAACAGACCUGAACCAAUUGUACAUGGCGAUCUUCAUCCUGCCAAUAUUCUUCUUGAUGCCAACUUAGUCACUAAGCUUAGUGACUUUGGCAUUUUUCAUUUGCUAAUCCAGUCCAACAGCAAUAGCACCAACCAUCCUGUGGAGGCCCCUAUAUACGUGGACCCAGAAUGUCUUGCCACUCGCAAGAUGACACCUCACUCCGAUGUUUAUUCUUUUGGAAUGGUAGUCCUGCGCCUUUUAACUGGAAAGCCUCCUCUUGGUAUAAAGAAGAUUGUGGAGGAUGCUAUGGAGCAAGGUGACCUCAAUUCUGUAGUUGAUACCUCAGCCGGAGAGUGGCCUGAUGUGCACAUCCAGCAGUUAGCACACAUUGCUCUCAGUUGCACUGAGCAAAACAGCAGGUACCGUCCUGUUCUUUCAGGCCAGCUCUGGACAGCAGUUGAGACCAUGAGGGAUGUUGCAAUGUUAUCUUCACAGUCAUCUUCAAGUUUGGUGCCAGAGGAAAGCAUCAUACCGUCACACUUCACCUGUUCUAUAUCUCAUGAAAUCAUGAAGGAUCCUCAGUUGACAGCGGAUGGAAUCACCUACGAAGGUAAUUCUAUCCGGGAAUGGUUUGGUAGAGGCAAAAUCACAUCGCCGUUCACCAACUUGCCACUUCAACACCAGGAGCUCAUCCCCAAUAUCGCUCUCCGUUCUGCCAUUCAGGAAUGGCUCCAACAGCACAGCAUGGUGCUGUAA